UGAUUACUAGGGAUAAAGUAGCUCCGUG
Molecule: non-coding RNA, 28 nt
Filed under: Mus musculus (house mouse)
Lineage: Eukaryota; Metazoa; Chordata; Mammalia; Rodentia; Muridae
Source: RNAcentral